AACGAACGCUGGCGGCAUGCCUAACACAUGCAAGUCGAACGAGAUCUUCGGGUCUAGUGUCGCACGGGUGCGUAACGCGUGGGAAUCUGCCCUUUGGUUCGGAAUAACAGUUGGAAACGACUGCUAAUACCGGAUGAUGACGAAAGUCCAAAGAUUUAUCGCCAGAGGAUGAGCCCGCGUAGGAUUAGCUAGUUGGUGUGGUAAAGGCGCACCAAGGCGACGAUCCUUAGCUGGUCUGAGAGGAUGCUCAGCCACACUGGGACUGGGACACGGCCCAGACUCCUACGGGAGGCAGCAGUGGGGAAUAUUGGACAAUGGGCGAAAGCCUGAUCCAGCAAUGCCGCGUGAGUGAUGAAGGCCUUAGGGUUGUAAAGCUCUUUUACCCGGGAUGAUAAUGACGGUACCGGGAGAAUAAGCUCCGGCUAACUCCGUGCCAGCCGCCGCAGUAA
Molecule: ribosomal RNA, 449 nt
Filed under: uncultured bacterium
Lineage: Bacteria
Description: partial 16S ribosomal RNA
Rfam family: Bacterial small subunit ribosomal RNA
Source: RNAcentral